Molecule: long non-coding RNA, 1165 nt
Organism: Alosa alosa (allis shad)
Lineage: Eukaryota; Metazoa; Chordata; Actinopteri; Clupeiformes; Clupeidae
Exons: 3
Source: RefSeq, a predicted model, not a curated record
CGUCUCCUCGUGGCUGGUCUCAGUGAGAAUGGAAAGCAUGUGCUGUUGCUGCUAAAUGAUGGCAGUAUCCCAUUGAAGUUGACUAGUUCAGAGGUGAAUAUUGAAUCUCAACUGGAGACUCAUCAGUCAACGCAAAUGGUGAAUUGGUAUUAAGUUUUAAAUGGGUGACCAGUGACUUGUUUAAGGUUUAGCUCUAAGCAAUGUAGCAGUCACUUUUGGCUGCACGUGAAGGACCGAACACAUAACCUUUAGGGAACGUUCCCUAAAGGUUCUCUGAAGGUAGCAGCUAAUACCUUCAAGGUACCUUCCCUAAAGGUUAUGUGUUUGCUGGGUGCUAACUUAACUGUGAAUAAUCGGGUUGGUGUGUCCGGGCCCUAAAGCCUUCCUCACAGACAUUGGAAAGAUUUGGAAAAGAUUUUUGAAAGACUACAGUCUCAGACCCCCUCACAUCUAAAGACAAGUAGAGUUUUAAGUCAGACUAUGAUUUUGCAAUGACUAGGGAUCUUGCAGGGUCACUAUUUACAAGACUGCAACAAGAUUCCUUUAAAUGAUUACCCAUCGUGCAAUAGAUGAACAGGAACUGAAUUAUAGCCUAUUAAACUCAAGUCGUAUUUUCGAGUUUCUGCAGCAUUGUUUCAUGCGUGACAUCCUUAACAGAUAUUAUUAGAGUUGUUCGGUCACGUGGAAGAGCUGACUAAAUAUGUAUAAGAAAUGACAAAUAUUAUAAGAAUAACAAAUAAUUAUAGGCUACAGCUGUCGCCUACACUUUGCCCCUUCCUGUUUGGUGUUGGAGAGAGGUCACUAUUGUUUUUGUAUACUUCACGUCACUAUUUGCAUGAGCCACGACUAGAAAGACUUACGAUAAUGUCAAACACGUUUGUUGUAAUGGCACAACUAGAAAAGGACUGACUCCGACUGACUUACAACCGCUCAGAUUGGCACCUUACACUUAACGAUCUAGUUGACGGGAGCGCGCCGCGAUUCCAGUAGCCUACAACUCCCAUGAUUUCUGCCCGACUUUGGACAUUUAGUCGUCGACUGUGAAAACAGACUAAAAUCGUACAAUGUAAGGCCGCCAUUAGUUGUAGUCAUGGAAAUGUUGUGUUUAAUUUGUCUUUCUGCUAUGUUACUGUAAGAACAACGUAAUAAAUUGCUUUAAAAUUGU